CCAAUAGCGUAUAUUAAAGUUGUUGCAGUUAAAAAGCUCGUAGUUGAAUUUCGGGAUCAGUAGGUCGGUCGUGCCACUGGUAUGAACUGGUCUCACUGGUUCCUCCCUCUUGACGAACUGCAAUGCUAUUAAUUUAGUGUUGUAGGAAAUCAGGACUGUUACUUUGAAAAAAUUAGAGUGUUUAAAGCAGGCUUUGGCUUGAAUACAUUAGCAUGGAAUAAUGAAAUAGGACGUUCGAUCCUAUUUUGUUGGCUUCUAGGAUUGACGUAAUGAUUAAUAGGGACAGUUGGGGGCAUUAGUAUUCAAUUGUCAGAGGUGAAAUUCUUGGAUUUAUUGAAGACUAACUACUGCGAAAGCAUUUGCCAAGGAUGUUUUCAUUAAUCAAGAACGAAAGUUAGGGGAUCGAAGACGAUCAGAUACCGUCGUAGUCUUAACCAUAAACUAUGCCGACUAGGGAUCGGAUGAUGUUAAUUUUUUAAUGACUCAUUCGGCGCCUUACG
RNAcentral lists this unclassified non-coding RNA (500 nucleotides) under uncultured Glomus. Its description in RNAcentral is "SSU rRNA". It matches the Rfam family "Eukaryotic small subunit ribosomal RNA", at positions 591 to 1092 of the family's 1831-position model. The record is from RNAcentral. Lineage: Eukaryota; Fungi; Glomeromycota; Glomeromycetes; Glomerales; Glomeraceae.